AACCCAUGUGGGAUAUAACCAUGGUCUCCAUUUGAGAUCAUUAAUGGUCACCACAGUCCCAUGCGGCUUUCUCUGUUCCUGGUACUUACCCCUCCCCCUGAACAAGCCACACACCUACCUGGACAGUGAAUUCUGUGGCCACCUCAGGCUUCAGCUGCUCAUCCAAGUUUGUGUAGCCACAGCCCUUAGUUAGCAAGGGCCCGCUAAUGUGGACACGGUGCCUACUGACUGCAUGGUAGAUGCUGAAUUUGACCAACAUGUGUUUGUGUAUAAAGGAUAGCAUGGAUGUGACAAGGCAAACAAAUGUGGUAACUUCAACUUUUUUUUUUUGAGCCAGGGUCUUGCUAUGUUACCCAGGUUGGCCGGAACUCCUGUAUUUAAGUGAUCUUCCUGCCUCAGCCUCUCAGAAGCGAACCCCUCUGGACCUCCAGCUGCUCUCCUGUGUGUGUGCUUUGGCCACAAGACUCUCUUCCUUUCAGCACAAAAUGGAGCUCUUGGGCGAGGCGUGACACGAUUGUUUGGAAGGCGAGGAUGGCUGAAUAGGCUCUCGUCUUCACUCAGUGCUGUAGGCUCUGCUGUGACAAUCGCCACUGCCGGACGGACAGAGGAGACCUGGCCCUGGUGCAGAUUCUCAUCUUUGGCUGCACCUUGGAGUCUCUCUGGAAGCUUUCAAGAAGUGUUAGUACAAGACGGGCGAUGUGAUGAGCUGGCCCUUAGGCCCUGGUAUGGCUUUGGUCUUCGUUUUUUUUCAAAGUUCCCCAGGUGACUAUAACAUGCAGCUGGCAUGCCCCUAACAAAGGAAAGAAACUAUGAAUUGGGGGUUAGAAGUCAUUAUUAAAUCAGAGGUCCUCAAGUACAGUGUUCUCCAACCUCUUUGACACCAGGGACAGGGUUCACAGAAGACAAUUUUCCAGAGGUGGGAAGAGAAUUCUUUGUUUGUUUGUUUGUUUUGGUACCGGAGAUCAAACUCAGGACCUUGUGCUUGCCAGACAGGCAGGACACCACUGAGCUGAAUUCCUGGCCCAGGAGAAUUCUUUUUUUAAGUUUUUCUUUAUUAGAAUAUUUUUGUGAUACAUAAUAGUUACAUCCCCCAGCACUAGCAUCACUACCUCAGCUCCACCCCUUAGAUCAUCAGGCAUUAGAUUCAAAAGGAGCACAACCUAGAUCCCUCAUGUGCACAGGUCAGAGGAGGAUUUUCACUCCUAUGAGAAUCUAAUGCUGCCACUGAUCUGACAGGAAGUGGAGCUCAGACGGUGAGGGGAGCCAUGGGGAGGAUCUGUGAACACAGAGGAAGCUUCGCUUACUCCCCUCCUGCUGUUUCUAAUGGGUUGAUUUGGUUGCACAGUAAAUCACAAAGGUAACUUCUAAGAGUCCCAAAGCCUCGGUCUCACCCUUGCCAGUGACAGCCAACCUGGCUGUGGCUUUGACAGAUAUGAAAACUCCUGAGAUGAGAGAUCCUAGUGGCAGCCAAGUUUGAGAAUUGAUGACCCACAGUUUGGCACCACAGACUUUGCUGGUUUCUGCAUCAACUGGUGAGCUUGUCCUCAGCAGAGGCUGAUGAGGCAGGAAGGGCCCUGGGUCCUGCACUGCUGAGGCACUCUGAGAACAGGCCCUCCCAUGGGAGCUGGGGAGUCUCCUGAGAAGAGAGAGAGGUAUCUCAUGGGGCUGGUCUGCAGCAGCGCCUCACUUAUGUAGCAGAAAU
Non-coding RNA from Heterocephalus glaber (naked mole-rat), 1702 nucleotides. Lineage: Eukaryota; Metazoa; Chordata; Mammalia; Rodentia; Bathyergidae. The record is from RefSeq and is a predicted model, not a curated record.